Long non-coding RNA from Drosophila albomicans, 291 nucleotides. RefSeq lists it as uncharacterized. The transcript is spliced from 3 exons. The record is from RefSeq and is a predicted model, not a curated record. Lineage: Eukaryota; Metazoa; Arthropoda; Insecta; Diptera; Drosophilidae.
GCGCAGUGCUCAUAGUGGAAACGAGACUUGAAUAUUGAGAAAGAAACUAUGAACAAGAUGGAAAUGGAACACACUUUUGUGAUGUGUAUUCGAAAAUAUUCAAAACUAAAAUACUGAUUAAACGAAGUCCACUACGAGCAAAAUUUUUCAUUUUUAGAUAGAGGAUGAGGAAUAUAUAGUAAAAAUGAGAAACAGCAAGAAAAUAUGCUCAAUGUGCGCAGAAACAAUUGUUGGGCACAAAAUAGUUACAAAUCAAAUCAACAAAAAAAAAGAGUAACAAACAAAAUUCUA